GGUCCUGACUAGCUCAAUUGGUAGAGCAUGGCCAGGGUUAGGGGUUCGAUUCCCACUGGGACCA
Merluccius polli (Benguela hake) is the source of this 64-nucleotide non-coding RNA. NCBI's taxonomy places the organism in Eukaryota, Metazoa, Chordata, Actinopteri, Gadiformes, Merlucciidae. The record is from the annotation of a GenBank genome assembly.